Long non-coding RNA from Lagopus leucura (white-tailed ptarmigan), 1050 nucleotides. RefSeq lists it as uncharacterized. The transcript is spliced from 3 exons. The record is from RefSeq and is a predicted model, not a curated record. Lineage: Eukaryota; Metazoa; Chordata; Aves; Galliformes; Phasianidae.
CCAACAUAAUCCAAUUGGAGGCAUUACUUUUGGAGUAGCCUUCAUAUUUUUGUAUUUUGUUUAAUUUUUAUGUAUGAUAUGUUGCAUAAUGGGAAUAAUAUUCCAUGUAUACAUUCAGCCACACAAAGCAUAGCCACAUUUGGUUAGUUGGAGUUGAAUGGCCACAAAUUAUUUGGGGUGGAUAGGAUGAGGGGAAAGAUGGGAGGGGGAAAAAACAUUUGUUCUUCACCUUCUAAAGAAAAACUGCUUUUCCUUGUAAGCUGUCUGCGCUGUUCAGGCCUUACCACUCUACCAAAGCAGCAGUGAUCUUCUGAGUUGAUAUCUACAGUGGCUUCUCUUGAUUUUCGCCAGGACUUGGCUGUGGGCCUGGCACUAAUUAUGUACUUGGAGGGCGACCCUCUGGGGGUACUGCCCCAUGAACUGCUGUAAUUCAGGUCACCUUCUCCAGGACUCAUCUCUGUGCUUUGUCUAUUUUCUGAUCUUCUUUCUUCAGGAAGAACCUACAUAUGUUGGGAACCUUGUCCACUAGCAACCUGAAUCCAGUCAGAGAUUCAUCUUUGAUCCGGACUUCCACGCAUCCAAGAUUUCCUGCUGGGAUUCUUUUGUGGUCUUAAACUGCCAGUAAAAAUCUUGUUUCUGCUUCUGUUGUUCUUCUGCUUCUUGUGUUGUCUUACUGCUGGGAUACUUUCCUUAUGAAUGAAGUUUCAAUUUGUAGUAUUUCCCAUUUACAGUAAAGAUUGAAUUGCCAUUCUUUGUUUUGAAAUACGCCAUUUUAUUGCACCUGCCCAGAUAUCCUCCUACUAACCUGAAGUUUUUGUAAACUGCUUUUCACCAAGAAUUCCAUCCAGCAGUUUCAUCCACUGUUGUUUCUGAAACUGUUCCACGCAUCACGUCUUACGUGUGCUAUCACAGCCAGAAUGUACCACAAUCUGCUUUUGUUCCAGAAAUUUUAAGAGAUCUGACUCUAUCAAAGGGCUUCCUUCAGUGAAUGUACUAUAUAUUGUUUCAUAUGCACACUAAAAAAACCCAUCUCCUUGCAGUGUGUGUGGU